Molecule: small nuclear RNA, 109 nt
Organism: Loxodonta africana (African savanna elephant)
Lineage: Eukaryota; Metazoa; Chordata; Mammalia; Proboscidea; Elephantidae
Source: Ensembl
GUGCUCGCUUCGGCAGCACAUGUACUAAGGAACUGGAAUGAUCCAGAGAAGAUUAGCAUGGCCCCUGCACAAGGAUGACAUGCAAAUUCCUGAAGUGUUCCAUAUUUGG